UACGGGGGGGGGCUAGCGUUGUUCGGAAUUACUGGGCGUAAAGGGCGCGUAGGCGGUCUGCUAAGUUGGAUGUGAAAACUCUGGGCUUAACCCAGAGCCUGCAUUCAAAACUGACAGGCUAGAGUUCUGGAGGGGAUAGCGGAAUUCCUGGUGUAGCGGUGAAAUGCGUAGAUAUCAGGAGGAACACCGGUGGCGAAGGCGGCUAUCUGGACAGAAACUGACGCUGAGGCGCGAAAGCUAGGGGAGCAAACAGG
Molecule: ribosomal RNA, 254 nt
Filed under: uncultured bacterium
Lineage: Bacteria
Description: partial 16S ribosomal RNA
Rfam family: Bacterial small subunit ribosomal RNA
Source: RNAcentral